RNAcentral lists this ribosomal RNA (554 nucleotides) under uncultured bacterium. Its description in RNAcentral is "bacterial SSU rRNA". It matches the Rfam family "Archaeal small subunit ribosomal RNA", at positions 725 to 1275 of the family's 1478-position model. The record is from RNAcentral.
AGUGAAUAGAUACCCGGGUAGUCCUAGCCGUAAACGAUACUCGCUAGGUGUCGGCCACGGUGCGACCGUUGUCGGUGCCGUAGGGAAAGCCGUGAAGCGAGCCACCUGGGAAGUACGGCCGCAAGGCUGAAACUUAAAGGAAUUGGCGGGGGAGCACCACAACGGGUGGAGCUUGCGGUUUAAUUGGAUUCAACGCCGGAAAUCUUACCGGGACCGACAGCAAUAUGAAGGCCAGGCUGAAGACUUUGCCGGAUUAGCUGAGAGGUGGUGCAUGGCCGUCGUCAGUUCGUACUGUGAAAGCAUCCUGUUAAGUCAGGCAACGAGCGAGACCCACGCCCACAGUUGCCAGCGUACUCUCCGGAGUGACGGGUACACUGUGGGGACCGCCGCUGCUAAAGCGGAGGAAAGAAUGGGCAACGGUAGGUCAGUAUGCCCCGAAUAUCCCGGGCUACACGCGAGCUACAAUGGUUGGUACAAUGGGUAUCUACCCCGAAAGGGGAUGGAAAUCUCCUAAAGCCAAUCUUAGUUCGGAUUGAGGGCUGCAACUCGCCCUC